Molecule: ribosomal RNA, 760 nt
Filed under: uncultured Eikenella sp.
Lineage: Bacteria; Pseudomonadati; Pseudomonadota; Betaproteobacteria; Neisseriales; Neisseriaceae
Description: bacterial SSU rRNA
Rfam family: Bacterial small subunit ribosomal RNA
Source: RNAcentral
AUUGAACGCUGGCGGCAUGCUUUACACAUGCAAGUCGAACGGCAGCGGGGUAGUGCUUGCACUACUGUCCGGCGAGUGGCGAACGGGUGAGUAAUAUAUCGGAACGUACCGAGUAAUGGGGGAUAACCAAUCGAAAGAUUGGCUAAUACCGCACACGUCCUACGGGAGAAAGCGGGGGAUCGCAAGACCUCGCGUUAUUCGAGCGGCCGAUAACUGAUUAGCUAGUUGGUGGGGUAAAGGCCUACCAAGGCGACGAUCAGUAGCGGGUCUGAGAGGACGAUCCGCCACACUGGGACUGAGACACGGCCCAGACUCCUACGGGAGGCAGCAGUGGGGAAUUUUGGACAAUGGGGGCAACCCUGAUCCAGCCAUGCCGCGUGUAUGAAGAAGGCCUUCGGGUUGUAAAGUACUUUUGUUAGGGAAGAAAAGGGAAGUGCUAAUACCACUUUUUGCUGACGGUACCUAAAGAAUAAGCACCGGCUAACUACGUGCCAGCAGCCGCGGUAAUACGUAGGGUGCGAGCGUUAAUCGGAAUUACUGGGCGUAAAGCGAGCGCAGACGGUUAUUUAAGCAGGAUGUGAAAUCCCCGGGCUUAACCUGGGAACUGCGUUCUGAACUGGAUAGCUAGAGUGUGUCAGAGGGGGGUAGAAUUCCACGUGUAGCAGUGAAAUGCGUAGAGAUGUGGAGGAAUACCGAUGGCGAAGGCAGCCCCCUGGGAUAACACUGACGUUCAUGCUCGAAAGCGUGGGUAGCAAACAGG